RNAcentral lists this ribosomal RNA (460 nucleotides) under uncultured bacterium. RNAcentral describes it as "partial 16S ribosomal RNA". It matches the Rfam family "Bacterial small subunit ribosomal RNA", at positions 338 to 795 of the family's 1533-position model. The record is from RNAcentral.
CCUACGGGUGGCAGCAGUGAGGAAUAUUGGUCAAUGGGCGGAAGCCUGAACCAGCCAAGUAGCGUGCAGGAUGACGGCCCUACGGGUUGUAAACUGCUUUUAUACGGGAAUAACGCGCCUUACGUGUAGGGCUUUGCAUGUACCGUAUGAAUAAGGACCGGCUAAUUCCGUGCCAGCAGCCGCGGUAAUACGGGAGGUCCGGGAGUUAUCCGGAUUUAUUGGGGUUAAAGGGCGCGUAGGCCGGAUGUCAAGCGUGCUGUGAAAUUUCCGGGCUCAACCCGGGCCUUGCAGCGGAAACUGGCGUGCUUGAGUCCGCGGAAAGCAGGCGGAAUUCGUGGUGUAGCGGUGAAAUGCUUAGAUAUGACGAAGAACCCCGAUUGCGAAGGCAGCUUGCUGCAGCGGAACUGACGCUGAUGCUCGAAAGCGCGGGUAUCGAACAGGAUUAGAUACCCGGGUAGUC